This 497-nucleotide ribosomal RNA is filed under the name uncultured bacterium. RNAcentral's name for it is "partial 16S ribosomal RNA". It matches the Rfam family "Bacterial small subunit ribosomal RNA", at positions 28 to 507 of the family's 1533-position model. The record is from RNAcentral.
GAUGAACGCUGGCGGCGUGCCUAAUACAUGCAAGUCGAGCGAACAGACGAGGAGCCUGCUCCUCUGACGUUAGCGGCGGACGGGUGAGUAACACGUGGAUAACCUACCUAUAAGACUGGGAUAACUUCGGGAAGCCGGAGCUAAUACCGGAUAAUAUAUUGAACCGCAUGGUUCAAUAGUGAAAGACGGUUUUGCUGUCACUUAUAGAUGGAUCCGCGCCGCAUUAGCUAGUUGGUAAGGUAACGGCUUACCAAGGCGACGAUGCGUAGCCGACCUGAGAGGGUGAUCGGCCACACUGGAACUGAGACACGGUCCAGACUCCUACGGGAGGCAGCAGUAGGGAAUCUUCCGCAAUGGGCGAAAGCCUGACGGAGCAACGCCGCGUGAGUGAUGAAGGUCUUCGGAUCGUAAAACUCUGUUAUUAGGGAAGAACAAAUGUGUAAGUAACUAUGCACGUCUUGACGGUACCUAAUCAGAAAGCCACGGCUAACUACGUG